UACGGGGGGGGGCAAGCGUUUGUUCGGAAUUACUGGGCGUAAAGGGCUCGUAGGCGGCCAACUAAGUCGGAUGUGAAAUCCCCAGGCUUAACCUGGGAACUGCAUCCGAUACUGGAUGGCUUGAAUUCGGGAGAGGGAUGCAGAAUUCCAGGUGUAGCGGUGAAAUGCGUAGAUAUCUGGAGGAAUACCGGUGGCGAAGGCGGCAUCCUGGACCGACAUUGACGCUGAGGAGCGAAAGCUAGGGGAGCAAACGGG
Molecule: ribosomal RNA, 255 nt
Filed under: uncultured bacterium
Lineage: Bacteria
Description: partial 16S ribosomal RNA
Rfam family: Bacterial small subunit ribosomal RNA
Source: RNAcentral